UUCAUUGUGUGGCUGGCAAGACCUAGAACCUAGAAUCUCUUUGGGUUCCAGUAUUCUCUUUGCGGAAUGGGGAUGAUAACAUCCAAAGUCCCGCCAGCCUCACUGAGAGCCUGGGAAGAUCAAAACACGCUGAAUCACAGUCUACCCGUUCGAGCUGGUAGUUAGCACAUGUUUGCGACGAUCAGGCGCCACGCUAAGUGGCUUACGUGCGCUAUCUCGUCUGACCAUCAUAAGGGCGUCAGAGGGUGCUUUACCGUGGACGGACCUCUAUUUAGGAAAACUUGGCAUCUAAAAGCCCACAGGGACAAAAUCGAUAUAUUAAGGCAACCAGUCAAUCACGGUUUGCCGAGGACUGAUAGGAUUUUAACACCAAAAGGCCCAAGGCCCGGAAACCCUUCAGUGCUAAGCACACCAGACCUCUAACAAACCUACCUCAUUAACGCCUGUCGCUCUGUCAGAGCAUUCAGUCCCCAACGUUUACAGAGAACCUCGUCCUCUUCCGCCCGCCCACUCUCCACAUCCUCUUCAGGCGCCUGCCCACAAGGAGCGCCCGGUCUGUGGAGGCCAUAGAGAGGUCAGCACUCGUAACACGGUGAAAUAAACCUUUAACUAGUGGAUGUGCA
This 623-nucleotide long non-coding RNA is filed under the name Felis catus (domestic cat). RNAcentral's name for it is "lncRNA (ENSFCAG00000042747.2)". The record is from RNAcentral. Lineage: Eukaryota; Metazoa; Chordata; Mammalia; Carnivora; Felidae.